GACGGAGGAUGCAAGCGUUAUCCGGAAUUAUUGGGCGUAAAGCGUCCGCAGGUGGCUGUUCAAGUCUGCUGUCAAAGCGCAGAGCUUAACUCUGUACAGGCGGUGGAAACUGAAGAGCUAGAGUAUGGUAGGGGUAGAGGGAAUUCCCGGUGUAGCGGUGAAAUGCGUAGAUAUCGGUAGGAACACCAGUGGCGAAGGCGGUUUCCUGGGGCAUUCUUGACGCUGAGGCGCGAAAGCUGGGGGAGCGAACGGG
This 253-nucleotide ribosomal RNA is filed under the name uncultured bacterium. Its description in RNAcentral is "partial 16S ribosomal RNA". It matches the Rfam family "Bacterial small subunit ribosomal RNA", at positions 524 to 776 of the family's 1533-position model. The record is from RNAcentral.